UAUGAACCUGGUUUAUAACUUAUUCGAUUAAUUUACAACCUACUAUUAAAUCCUAAAUUUAUUAGCUUUAAGUUACUGCAUUUCAGUCUCCCUUGGUUGGGCUGCAUGUUAUUUGGGAAAAAUUUAAAUGUUAAUUUAUUUUUUAACAACCACACACAAACAUUAACCAAGUAAACAAAAUUGAGGAUUAUCAAAUUAAGCACCAAAAUUCUCUAAAAAGAAUAAACCACUGCCAUGUAGUUUAGGUUUAUUUUACUACCUAAAAUUAUUUCAUACCUGGAUUCUACCCCAGUUUUGUAGCUUGAUUUUAAUAUUUUAACCCUUUUUCCCAUAUCCUUAAAACUGAAAAAGAAAGAAAGUUUAAAAUUAUCCAUUAAAUAAAAUUUAAUUUAAAAGUA
This 398-nucleotide ribosomal RNA is filed under the name Cyclops strenuus lacustris. Its description in RNAcentral is "partial 12S ribosomal RNA". Lineage: Eukaryota; Metazoa; Arthropoda; Copepoda; Cyclopoida; Cyclopidae. The record is from RNAcentral.